RNAcentral lists this ribosomal RNA (1545 nucleotides) under uncultured Nitrososphaerota archaeon. RNAcentral describes it as "uncultured thaumarchaeote partial 16S ribosomal RNA". It matches the Rfam family "Archaeal small subunit ribosomal RNA". Lineage: Archaea; Thermoproteati; Nitrososphaerota. The record is from RNAcentral.
GCUCUAGAACUAGUGGAUCCCCCGGGCUGCAGCCCAAUGUGGAAUUCGCCCUUUUCCGGUUGAUCCUGCCGGACCUGACUGCUAUCGGAAUGAUACUAAGCCAUGCGAGUCAUUGUAGCAGUACAAGGCAGACGGCUCAGUAACGCGUAGUCAAUCUACCCUGUGGACGGGAAUAACCUCGGGAAACUGAGAAUAAUACCCGAUAGAGCAUUACGCCUGGAAUGGUUUAUGUUUCAAAUGAUUUAUCGCCAUAGGAUGGGACUGCGGCCUAUCAGUUUGUUGGUGAGGUAAUGGCCCACCAAGACUAUUACAGGUACGGGCUCUGAGAGGAGUAGCCCGGAGAUGGGUACUGAGACACGGACCCAGGCCCUAUGGGGCGCAGCAGGCGAGAAAACUUUGCAAUGUGCGAAAGCACGACAAGGUUAAUCCGAGUGGUUUCUGCUAAAGAAACCUUUUGCCAGUCCUAGAAACACUGGUGAAUAAGGGGUGGGCAAGUUCUGGUGUCAGCCGCCGCGGUAAAACCAGCACCUCAAGUGGUCAGGAUGAUUAUUGGGCCUAAAGCAUCCGUAGCUCGUUUUGUAAGUUUUCGGUUAAAUCCAUGCGCUCAACGUAUGGGCUGCCGGGAAUACUGCAUAACUAGGAAGUGGGAGAGGUAGACGGUACUCGGUAGGAAGGGGUAAAAUCCUUUGAUCUAUUGAUGACCACCUGUGGCGAAGGCGGUCUACCAGAACACGUUCGACGGUGAGGGAUGAAAGCUGGGGGAGCAAACCGGAUUAGAUACCCGGGGUAGUCCCAGCUGUAAACUAUGCAAACUCAGUGAUGCAUUGGCUUGUGGCCAAUGCAGUGCUGCAGGGAAGCCGUUAAGUUUGCCGCCUGGGAAGUACGUACGCAAGUAUGAAACUUAAAGGAAUUGGCGGGGGAGCACCACAAGGGGUGAAGCCUGCGGUUCAAUUGGAGUCAACGCCAGAAAUCUUACCCGGAGAGACAGCAGAAUGAAGGUCAAGCUGAAGACUUUACCAGACAAGCUGAGAGGUGGUGCAUGGCCGUCGCCAGCUCGUGCCGUAAGAUGUCCUGUUAAGUCAGGUAACGAGCGAGAUCCCUGCCUCUAGUUGCCACCAUUACUCUCAGGAGUAGUGGGGCGAAUUAGCGGGACCGCCGCAGUUAAUGCGGAGGAAGGAAGGGGCCACGGCAGGUCAGUAUGCCCCGAAACUCUGGGGCCACACGCGGGCUGCAAUGGUAGUGACAAUUGGUUCCGAAUCCGAAAGGAGGAGGUAAUCCUCAAACGCUACCACAGUUAUGACUGAGGGCUGCAACUCGCCCUCACGAAUAUGGAAUCCCUAGUAACUGCGUGUCAUUAUCGCGCGGUGAAUACGUCCCUGCUCCUUGCACACACCGCCCGUCGUUUCAUUGAAGUUUGCUUUUAGCGAGGUGACGUCUGAUUGGCGUUAUCGAACUUGAGGUAAGUGACAAGGGAAAAGUCGUAACAAGGUAACCAAGGGCGAAUUCCACAGUGGAUAUCAAGCUUAUCGAUACCGUCGACCUCGA